UACGAAGGGGGCUAGCGUUGUUCGGAUUUACUGGGCGUAAAGCGCACGUAGGCGGAUCGUUAAGUCGGGGGUGAAAUCCUGGAGCUCAACUCCAGAACUGCCUUCAAUACUGGCGAUCUAGAGUCCGGAAGAGGUGAGUGGAACUCCUAGUGUAGAGGUGGAAUUCGUAGAUAUUAGGAAGAACACCAGUGGCGAAGGCGGCUCACUGGCCCGGUACUGACGCUGAGAUACGAAAGCGUGGGGAGCAAACAGG
Molecule: ribosomal RNA, 253 nt
Filed under: uncultured bacterium
Lineage: Bacteria
Description: partial 16S ribosomal RNA
Rfam family: Bacterial small subunit ribosomal RNA
Source: RNAcentral